Molecule: ribosomal RNA, 1564 nt
Filed under: Pyrenophora teres f. teres
Lineage: Eukaryota; Fungi; Ascomycota; Dothideomycetes; Pleosporales; Pleosporaceae
Description: SSU rRNA
Rfam family: Eukaryotic small subunit ribosomal RNA
Source: RNAcentral
CCUGGUUGAUUCUGCCAGUAGUCAUAUGCUUGUCUCAAAGAUUAAGCCAUGCAUGUCUAAGUAUAAGCAAUUAUACCGUGAAACUGCGAAUGGCUCAUUAAAUCAGUUAUCGUUUAUUUGAUAAUACCUUACUACUUGGAUAACCGUGGUAAUUCUAGAGCUAAUACAUGCUGAAAAUCCCGACUUCGGAAGGGAUGUGUUUAUUAGAUAAAAAACCAAUGCCCUUCGGGGCUCCUUGGUGAUUCAUAAUAACUUUACGGAUCGCAUAGCCUUGCGCUGGCGACGGUUCAUUCAAAUUUCUGCCCUAUCAACUUUCGAUGGUAAGGUAUUGGCUUACCAUGGUUUCAACGGGUAACGGGGAAUUAGGGUUCGAUUCCGGAGAGGGAGCCUGAGAAACGGCUACCACAUCCAAGGAAGGCAGCAGGCGCGCAAAUUACCCAAUCCCGAUUCGGGGAGGUAGUGACAAUAAAUACUGAUACAGGGCUCUUUUGGGUCUUGUAAUUGGAAUGAGUACAAUUUAAACCUCUUAACGAGGAACAAUUGGAGGGCAAGUCUGGUGCCAGCAGCCGCGGUAAUUCCAGCUCCAAUAGCGUAUAUUAAAGUUGUUGCAGUUAAAAAGCUCGUAGUUGAAACUUGGGUCUGGCUGGCGGGUCCGCCUCACCGCGUGCACUCGUCCGGCCGGGCCUUCCUUCUGAAGAACCUCAUGCCCUUUACUGGGCGUGUUGGGGAAUCAGGACUUUUACUUUGAAAAAAUUAGAGUGUUCAAAGCAGGCCUUUGCUCGAAUACGUUAGCAUGGAAUAAUAAAAUAGGGCGUGCGUUUCUAUUUUGUUGGUUUCUAGAGACGCCGCAAUGAUUAACAGGAACAGUCGGGGGCAUCAGUAUUCAGUUGUCAGAGGUGAAAUUCUUGGAUUUACUGAAGACUAACUACUGCGAAAGCAUUUGCCAAGGAUGUUUUCAUUAAUCAGUGAACGAAAGUUAGGGGAUCGAAGACGAUCAGAUACCGUCGUAGUCUUAACCGUAAACUAUGCCGACUAGGGAUCGGGCGAUGUUCUUUUUCUGACUCGCUCGGCACCUUACGAGAAAUCAAAGUUUUUGGGUUCUGGGGGGAUUAUGGUCGCAAGGCUGAAACUUAAAGAAAUUGACGGAAGGUCACCACCAGGCGUGGAGCCUGCGGCUUAAUUUGACUCAACACGGGGAAACUCACCAGGUUCAGAUGAAAUAAGGAUUGACAGAUUGAGAGCUCUUUCUUGAUUUUUCAGGUGGUGGUGCAUGGCCGUUCUUAGUUCGUGGGGUGACUUGUCUGCUUAAUUGCGAUAACGAGCGAGACCUUACUCUGCUAAAUAGCCAGGCUAGCUUUGGCUGGUCGCCGGCUUCUUAGAGAGACUAUCAACUCAAGUUGAUGGAAGUUUGAGGCAAUAACAGGUUAACCUACACAGGCCUGUAACAGUGGGCCUCGUUAAAGAUAACUGCUAGUCUAGCGUCUUAACCUUCUUUGGGGAAGUCCCCUACUGUCGGGAGAAGGCAAGUUUUACUUGUGACGUAGGCAACACCACCUGGUACAGG